RNAcentral lists this ribosomal RNA (446 nucleotides) under uncultured bacterium. Its description in RNAcentral is "partial 16S ribosomal RNA". It matches the Rfam family "Bacterial small subunit ribosomal RNA", at positions 338 to 795 of the family's 1533-position model. The record is from RNAcentral.
CCUACGGGAGGCAGCAGUCGAGAAUCAUUCACAAUGGGGGAAACCCUGAUGGUGCGACGCCGCGUGGGGGAAUGAAGGUCUUCGGAUUGUACACCCCUUUCAUGUGGGAGCAAAUUAAAAAGAUAGUACCACAAGAGGAAGAGACGACUAACUCUGUGCCAGCAGCCGCGGUAAUACAGAGGUCUCAAGCGUUGUUCGGAAUCACUGGGCGUAAAGCGUGCGUAGGCUGUUUCGUAAGUCGUGUGUGAAAGUCGCGGGCUCAACCCGCGGACGGCACAUGAGACUGAGAGACUAGAGUAAUGGAGGGGGAACCGGAAUUCUCGGUGUAGCAGUGAAAUGCGUAGAUAUCGAGAGGAACACUCGUGGCGAAGGCGGGUUCCUGGACAUUAACUGACGCUGAGGCACGAAGGCCAGGGGAGCGAAAGGGAUUAGAUACCCCUGUAGUC